Molecule: ribosomal RNA, 466 nt
Filed under: uncultured bacterium
Lineage: Bacteria
Description: partial 16S ribosomal RNA
Rfam family: Bacterial small subunit ribosomal RNA
Source: RNAcentral
GACGAACGCUGGCGGUGUGCCUAACACAUGCAAGUCGAACGGUAAGGCCCUUUCGGGGGUACACGAGUGGCGAACGGGUGAGUAACACGUGAGUAACCUGCCCUCAUCUCUGGGAUAACAGUCGGAAACGGUUGCUAAUACUGGAUAUGAGCUUGCAAGGCAUCUUGUGGGUUGGAAAGAUUUUUUUGGUUGGGGAUGGACUCGCGGCCUAUCAGCUUGUUGGUGAGGUAGUGGCUCACCAAGGCUUCGACGGGUAGCCGGCCUGAGAGGGCGACCGGCCACAUUGGGACUGAGAUACGGCCCAAACUCCUACGGGAGGCAGCAGUGGGGAAUAUUGCACAAUGGACGGAAGUCUGAUGCAGCAACGCCGCGUGCGGGAUGACGGCCUUCGGGUUGUAAACCGCUUUCAAUUGUGACGAAGCUUUUUGUGACGGUAGCAGUAGAAGAAGCGCCGGCUAACUACGUG